Molecule: ribosomal RNA, 24 nt
Filed under: Mycosphaerella sp. C2-2
Lineage: Eukaryota; Fungi; Ascomycota; Dothideomycetes; Mycosphaerellales; Mycosphaerellaceae
Description: partial 28S ribosomal RNA
Source: RNAcentral
UGACCUCGGAUCAGGUAGGUACCC